Molecule: non-coding RNA, 4192 nt
Organism: Cyanistes caeruleus (blue tit)
Lineage: Eukaryota; Metazoa; Chordata; Aves; Passeriformes; Paridae
Source: RefSeq, a predicted model, not a curated record
GACAUUUUCUUUUUUUAAUUAAAGUUGAGAUCCAUGUAUGGAAGUAAAAGAUAAAUUGACCAGUCUAAUACAAGAAAAUAUUUUAAGUGCAAUUCCAUUACACAACUUAGCUGGAGAAAGCUCAUAUGCUACACAGCUGUAACCUUUUCCUUUCCUUCCUUACUGAGCCUGGGAGCAUUGCCCUCUUGCCUUCUUUCUGUUGGAGCUGGCUUUUCCUGUCAUACUGCAUACUCUGAGAGAGCUUGGCAUUUUUCCCUGCCCUCUGCAGCUCUGGAAUACUUUAUUGCUGUUUCUUAAUGCCUGUUAUGACUGCAAGUAAGGCAUAAGUGGUGCCUUUCUUUCGCUGCUGCUUUUAAGUCACAUGAUGAUAUUUGGGAAAUCCGUGGACCUGCAGCACUGCAAAAUCAUACCCACAAUGAAAAACGAGUCCAAAAAUGCAAAGAAGGUUAAUGAGUCCUUAAAGGGUCAGGUUUGGGUUUAGGGCAAGGAGAGUUACUGAUGGCCAGCAGUGUGAUUCUGCAGCAUUGUCAUUGCCCAUAUGGCCAGAGAAUUAAAAAAGUAAAUACAAAGACUGCAUCUGUGUGUGGAUAGCAGCUGGGAGCUCACCAGGAAAGUGCAAAUGUAACCAUGGUGUUCACAAGAGGGGCAUGGCUCCGGGGUAAGCUUCAUCCCCAGUUUCCAGCUCCAUUUAACAGCAGCUCAAACACACCAUGACUGAGGCCUCUGUGAUGCUCAGCAUUAUUUGGAAGCCCAGCAAAGCAGCACAUGUUUAAUCCAAAGGAUGUUGCUACGUACCAUCCAUCCAAACUUCUGGAUAUCUACUGCAAAUCAAGUGCCAGGGAUUAAACUCCUGGUGUUCUGCAUCCAAAUGAGAUUUCUACUGGGCCAGAAAUACUUGCUUUUAGAAUUGAUUGUGUGAAACAUCGUGCUACAAUUUGAAUGAUCCUUUGAUGACUGGACUUUCUGGGAUAGAAGUUCCAAUAUGCUGUUGCAGUCAGGGAGGAACUGAGAAGCAGAGAACACAAAGGAAAACCCGGGGUUUACGCUUAAGACAAGGUUUCUUCAUGUUUUGCAGUAUGUCCCAGGUGCGGGGUAAGUCAGUGGAAGAUAUCACGGGAGGAGCAGGAACGCAGGGCUGGCGGAUGGAAAGCCGGGCUGUUCUCUGCAGCCAGCCCGAGCCCGAGGGCGUUCAGCGGCCUCUAAUGCCCUCUGAUGGACAAAAGCAUCGCAGCCGCGGCUCUGCCAGGGAGGCUCCUGGUUAAACCUGCCUUUGAGGGGCUUGGAGCUGAGAAGGUGAAGUCACCUCUUACUAAAGCUUGGCAGAUCCUUUUCUUCCUCCUUUACUGAGGUUUGUUUGUUUGGCUUAAGAACAGGAGGGAAAUAUUUUUGACCCUGAUGGCAGACUUGGCACAGUUCCCCCACAGUAACACCACGUCCAUCAGGAAUUGGGAUCAGACCUGUGCCUUACAGAGCAAUGCUUCCAGAAAGGAUGGGAGGUUUCUGGACCAAAGCUGACAAAUAGAAAUUGAAAAGUAUCACUCAGCAUGUUUGAGCCACUGCUGGAGUGUUUGACAAAUGCUGGUGAAAAUGAGAAACUGGGAUAGGAGGAAUGGAGAGAAAAAAAAUCAAAGGAUGAAGCAGAGGCUUCAGGGAGUCAGAAGAUAAAAAAGGUUAAUAAAUAAAUAAUUUGAAUUGAAAACACAAGAUAGAGGAAAGCAGAAAAAUAUGUGAGAGGGCUAAAAAAAAAAGAAAAUAAGAAAAAUUCCAUAUUCUCUGGCAAAAAGUCAAGAGAAGUGUCACCUCCAAGAGGCAGUUCAGGUGUAAUGCCAGAAAGGCCCAGAUCUCCUGGGUACAGUGUAGGUGAUGUUCAGAAAUUAAAUAAAUCUGAAAGUGUAAAAUGCACCAGAAAGGAAGGAAAUGCUGCCUUUGAAGGGGAUUUUAUUGGAGGUGGGGUUGUUAACUGUUGGUAUCUGUGACACAGGAUCAGCACCUUCUCUCCCAAGCAAGGACAAAGUGUGAGCUGAGAAUUCCCUGAGGUUUUCCUGCAGACCUGGCCAGGUCAUUUCCUGUGUAUGCCUCGAUCUUCUCCUCGGCGUCCUCAUCCUCCAACUCAGGCAAAAAGCAGAAGUGCCAGAAUAUCUCCAAGGAAAUGAUUCAUGGGACAUUUUUGGCUGGAUUGAAAACAUCUGCAGCUGGAAACUUCACGAGGGGGACUCUUCCCACAUAGAUAAAUUUCCAACUCACACUUUAUGGGUUGGCUGUUCAGGCUGUAAACCUCUGCGCAGAGGGAAUAGAGACACGGCAGGGACUUCCCUGUGCCGUGUGAUUCCUACCACUUGUGCCACUUUGACAGCCACAAUGGGAAAUUUUUAGUGAGGAAAUGUCAUUGGCAUUCACACCAAAACCUGACAACACUCUGUGGAUGCCUUAGGCUGCAAUUCCUUAUUUUAGUUUACACAGAAGCUUAAGGAAGUGCAUAAAAAGCUCUUGCUAAAGUGUCCUUAAAAAUCCAGAAGCAGGAGGUUUUGAAGAGCUGCUGAAGAAAUGGUGGCACAACUCAGAGUUAUCAGGAGCUAGGGAACUUGGAAUGGUUUAUUCUGCAGCAAUACCCAGCUGUUACAGACAGUCCUGUCUCUGCUUGGGGAGGGCAGAAUCAGCUGGGGCUUCAUGGACCCACAGGCAGGGUCUGGCACAAAAAUGAAUAGUAGGGAUAUUAUGGGGGUUCUGGGGACAGCAGGGGCAGAAUGGGUCUCCAGUCUAAGUACUGGCUGAACUUUUUCAAGGAGUUGGAGGGAAAAUGAGAAUUUCCGACAUCAUCAUUCAACCCCUGUGUUUAAAAUCUGGGAAUACUACAGCAAAUCAUGUUUGCUUUUAGGGAACAGAUUUGCUUUGGGAAAAACACUGCCAGAAGCAGGAAGAAGCAGUUUGUUUUGUUUAGUACAUUUUGAAGGGAAGAAAUAGCCUAUCCUUUUCUAUCUCAGUCAGGAGUUCCCAGGAUGCUUCUCUCUGAUCUAAUCAUAUCACCCUGAUUUCUUUCUGGCAUUUAGGGACAUGUUUUUCAGAACCAUAUCAGUCAGCUGAAGCCCUUUCCUGCCCCUACAUGAAUUAUUAUUGUUUAGAUUUUGGCAGAACAUAGAGAUCCCUGUGAAGAUUGUGGCUGGUUUGCCUUCAGUGGAGAUUAUUCCUGCCUGACUGCAGUGGGACACUGAGGGGUCAAAUACAUAAACAUUUGGAAAAGGAGCCAUGACAAGAAGGACCCAAUGGGGUCAGUUCUGCCUCCAGCAGGGAGACCAAGCCCUCAGGUUUAAUUGGGAAUUAAUAAACCAUCCUGGGUAAGGAUGAUUUCUGUCAUGGUAAAGAACACAAAACACCAAAGGUUCUGCUCCACUGAUGUUUUGUGUUCAUCUCUGCGGUUUGGUGUUGGUGUUUUGUGUUCUCUGCCUUUGCACUCCCUGUGACAAAGCCUUAUUCAUCAAUCAAUUAACUGGUUUUCUUUCUUAAAUAAAAUAUCUGCAAUUGAUUUUCAUCUUUUCAUAAAACAUCUGCUCUUCAAAAAUUUGCUGUCACCCAAGUUCCUGGAUUUGAUGCCAGAAUGCAAUGGAACUGUUUGUUGUGUAAAUCCAAAUUACAGGAUUUUUAUUGCUCAUUAUUUACAAGGCAAGUUGACUCAGGAUAAAUUUGAUAUUGCUGUUGCUGGUAAUAAUUCCUAUGUGCUGUGAUAACUGCAAGAGUCUCUGAGUCACAUGGAGGCCCUGACUGAGUGGGGGGACAGAAAUUCCAUUUGAUUCUCCAGUUCUGCCAAUUUUAAACCCACUGUUCCAGAGCCCUCACCUCAAGCUGCGUCUUUAUUUAUAUCAUCAGAAUUUCAAUGCGGCUCUGGUAUGAAAGAACAUUAUUUUGUGCUUCUGUCUACCCAGAAGGAAAACAAAUUAACAUUCCAAAGAAGGAAAGUGGAAGUGGAUGUUUAUUUGUGUGUAUCCUACUUUUCUGAGUCACCGAGUAAACAGUUGGCUAGGGCUGGUGUGACCAGGCUGGGGAUGAAGGUGCCACACUCGGACCUGUAUUUACUGUCACCGUUCUGCAGUGAAAACUGGGAACGCAACAAAAUAAGCUAAUUUAUAGAAACAACCGGGUUUAUAUUUAAAAGGUACAAUACAGCUGUGAAUUCCAGCCUGAGACAGCAAACCUGUGG